Non-coding RNA from Paramuricea clavata, 412 nucleotides. The record is from the annotation of a GenBank genome assembly. NCBI's taxonomy places the organism in Eukaryota, Metazoa, Cnidaria, Anthozoa, Malacalcyonacea, Plexauridae.
UCAAAAUAGCGAAAAUAUAUGCACGUAUUGCUUCGUAUAUAGAUCAGUGGGAAUUUCCAUUUUGCGACUAUCCAUGGAGAAGGAGACGGAGAAGGAGACCAAAUUCACCCGAAACCUAUAGUUGCUGGCACAGGUGCCCCAGCAACUAAUUAGCAUAUUAGCACGGAAAAGUGCCAAAAACGGAAAAAAAUUAGUAUAUUAGCACGGAAAAGUGCCCAAAACGGAAAAAAAUUAGCAUAUUAGCACGGAAAAGUGCCCAAAACGGAAAAAAAUUAGCAUAUUGGCACAGAAAAGUGCCCAAAACGGAAAAAAUUAGCAUAUUAGCACGGAAAAGUGCCCAAAACGGGAAAAAAUUAGCAUAUUGGCACGGAAAAGUGUCCAAAACGGAAAAGAUUAGCAUAUUAGCACGGAA